GCCCUUUUCACGGCAGGCGGAGCACCUUAUAUUCCGAUUGCCGGCUUCGGUCGGCUACGGCGAUAAACGGCCGAUGUAAUAAGCCUUUCGGACCCGGGGGCGGUACCCGGCGCCUCCACCUGGCUUCAUCGUAAUGUGACGAUGAGGCCAGGCGGGGGCGAAAUAGGAUCGACGAGGGUGUAAAAAUCGGACUUUCGCUCGGAAUGGUACCGCCGUUAUCGGGCCGUUUUAUAGUUGCAAACGACAACUAUGCGGAAGCACGUCUCGCUGCGUAAGCAGCGCGAACGCUUCAAUUCAAGUCCUGGGGGUUCGCACUUCUAGGCGGGGCUCGGAGGCGCCUGGCAACAGAAGCCUCCACU
RNAcentral lists this transfer-messenger RNA (359 nucleotides) under Aurantimonas endophytica. It matches the Rfam family "Alphaproteobacteria transfer-messenger RNA". From Rfam's summary of the family: Bacterial tmRNA, also known as 10Sa RNA or SsrA, is named for its dual tRNA and mRNA-like properties. Its role is to liberate the mRNA from a stalled ribosome. The record is from RNAcentral. Lineage: Bacteria; Pseudomonadati; Pseudomonadota; Alphaproteobacteria; Hyphomicrobiales; Aurantimonadaceae.